This 509-nucleotide ribosomal RNA is filed under the name Brachycallimerus latesignatus. RNAcentral's name for it is "partial 16S ribosomal RNA". The stretch from base 386 to 509 matches the Rfam family "Bacterial large subunit ribosomal RNA", at positions 2473 to 2597 of the family's 2925-position model. Lineage: Eukaryota; Metazoa; Arthropoda; Insecta; Coleoptera; Cleridae. The record is from RNAcentral.
UGUCCUUUUGAUUAUAAUUUAAGGUCUAAUCUGCCCACUGAGUAUUUAAAUGGCCGCAGUAUUCUGACUGUGCAAAGGUAGCAUAAUAAUUAGUUUCUUAAUUAGAAGCUGGAAUGAAAGAUUGAAUGAGAAAAUAACUGUCUCAAUUUAAUUUAAUUAGAAUUUUAUUUUUAAGUUAAAAAGCUUAAAUAUUAUUGAAAGACGAGAAGACCCUAUAGAGUUUUAUUUAAUUUUAUAAUAAAAAAAAAUUGAUUUUAAAUUUUUUAUUAAAAAAUUAAAUUUUGUUGGGGUGACAAAAAAAUUUAAUUAACUUUUUUUAUAUUAAAACAUUAAUUAAUGAAUUUUUGAUCCAAAAAUUUUGAUUAUAAGAUAAAAUUACCUUAGGGAUAACAGCGUAAUUUUUUUUGAGAGUUCUUAUCGAAAAAAAAGAUUGCGACCUCGAUGUUGGAUUAAAGUAUAAUUUUGGUGUAGAAGCUAAAAAUUUAGGUCUGUUCGACCUUUAAAACUUU